CAGGUAGCUCAGUUGGUAGAGCAGUGGACUGAAAAUCCGCGUGUCGGUGGUUCGAGUCCGCCCCUGG
This 67-nucleotide transfer RNA is filed under the name Thalassospira tepidiphila. It matches the Rfam family "tRNA". From Rfam's summary of the family: Transfer RNA (tRNA) molecules are approximately 80 nucleotides in length. RNAcentral also lists the same sequence under 6 other names. Lineage: Bacteria; Pseudomonadati; Pseudomonadota; Alphaproteobacteria; Rhodospirillales; Thalassospiraceae. The record is from RNAcentral.